Molecule: ribosomal RNA, 229 nt
Filed under: uncultured bacterium
Lineage: Bacteria
Description: partial 16S ribosomal RNA
Rfam family: Bacterial small subunit ribosomal RNA
Source: RNAcentral
UAACACGUAAAGAACCUGCCUCAUAGACUGGGACAACUAUUGGAAACGAUAGCUAAUACCGGAUAACAGCAUUAACUGCAUGGUUGAUGUUUAAAAGUUGGUUUUGCUAACACUAUGAGAUGGCUUUGCGGUGCAUUAGCUAGUUGGUGGGGUAAAGGCCUACCAAGGCGACGAUGCAUAGCCGACCUGAGGGGGUGAUCGGCCACACUGGGACUGAGACACGGCCCAG